CUGGCCGUGCACAGCCAGCAGGGUGGCUUUUUCAUCAAAUAGAUUCAAGAGCAACCUGUACUUCUGCAUCCCAAAAGGCUCCAGAUGUGACCAGCCACUGCAAAAUGAUGAAGAAACUGGAGCAUAAACCAUUUAGAAGACAAACAACUGAAAAUUUCCAGAAGAGCAGAGGAAAUCCCUUCCCUCAGUCAUUUUCUUCUCUGCUCUUUCUCGAAGAGAGCGGCAGGAGAAGGAAGACCCUCGUGACCACGUCAGAAGCAGAAAAGCUGAGGAAGCUGCAGUGCCAGCGCAGAAGAUGUGGGAAGAAAUAUCUACAAACAUUGGAGAUUUCCAUUCGCUUCUUUCUGACCCUUGUAGUUUCUUGACCCUAUAGUUCUGAAUCUGAGCUUGGGCCUCGCCUAGGAAGAGCCUCUGCAAACAAAGCCAAGGGUUUGCAGGCCUGCUGUCCCCUUCUUGAGCACUGGGGAGCCCUUGAGUACCGUGGAGGGAGUGAGGCUCCCGAUGGUUGGCACCAGCCGCCUGAUGUGGC
RNAcentral lists this long non-coding RNA (529 nucleotides) under Heterocephalus glaber (naked mole-rat). RNAcentral's name for it is "lncRNA (ENSHGLG00100034460.1)". Lineage: Eukaryota; Metazoa; Chordata; Mammalia; Rodentia; Bathyergidae. The record is from RNAcentral.